GGACUAUAGCUCAGUGGUAGAGUGCUUGCCUCACACAUGCAAGGACUGGGUUUGAUCCUCAGCACCA
Molecule: transfer RNA, 67 nt
Filed under: Marmota monax (woodchuck)
Lineage: Eukaryota; Metazoa; Chordata; Mammalia; Rodentia; Sciuridae
Description: tRNA.Val
Source: RNAcentral